Gadus morhua (Atlantic cod) is the source of this 381-nucleotide long non-coding RNA. RefSeq lists it as uncharacterized. The record is from RefSeq and is a predicted model, not a curated record. NCBI's taxonomy places the organism in Eukaryota, Metazoa, Chordata, Actinopteri, Gadiformes, Gadidae. The transcript is spliced from 3 exons.
GGCAGCAAAUGAAGAUGGAAGUACAAAAAUAUAGUUCAAACAGGAAGAUGAGAAACAUUGUCUGCGGCAUUCGAAAAGGGAAGAGGAAAGGCCUAUUGAGGAUGAAAUCGAAUCCAAUGAGAGGCCAUCCACUUCCAAAUCACAGCUUACCUCUGCAAGAUUCUCCCUGGAAUUAUAAUGAAACGCUCUACUUGGCAGUGUGAAAUCCAAUGUCAUUUUUUGCAUUCCUAUAGCUUCCAGUCAAAGAACUAUAUAAAAUCUAUCUCCAAAAGCAAAUACAAAAAGCAGACUUUGUAAUGGACAACCUUAGGCAAAAGAUGCAAAAAGAUGCUUUGGAGAUCCAAAUUUUGGAACAUAAGUUAAAGGUGGGUGAGGUGCAAU